Molecule: ribosomal RNA, 460 nt
Filed under: uncultured bacterium
Lineage: Bacteria
Description: partial 16S ribosomal RNA
Rfam family: Bacterial small subunit ribosomal RNA
Source: RNAcentral
CCUACGGGAGGCAGCAGUGAGGAAUAUUGGUCAAUGGACGAGAGUCUGAACCAGCCAAGUAGCGUGAAGGAUGACUGCCCUAUGGGUUGUAAACUUCUUUUAUAUGGGAAUAAAAUGUUCCACGUGUGGGAUUUUGUAUGUACCAUAUGAAUAAGGAUCGGCUAACUCCGUGCCAGCAGCCGCGGUAAUACGGAGGAUCCGAGCGUUAUCCGGAUUUAUUGGGUUUAAAGGGAGCGUAGGUGGAUUGUUAAGUCAGUUGUGAAAGUUUGCGGCUCAACCGGAAAAUUGCAGUUGAAACUGGCAGUCUUGAGUACAGUAGAGGUGGGCGGAGUUCGUGGUGUAGCGGUGAAAUGCUUAGAUAUCACGAAGAACUCCGAUUGCGAAGGCAGUUCACUGGACUGCAACUGACACUGAGGCUCGAAAGUGUGGGUAUCAAACAGGAUUAGAUACCCUAGUAGUC